This 107-nucleotide small nuclear RNA is filed under the name Dasypus novemcinctus (nine-banded armadillo). The record is from RNAcentral. Lineage: Eukaryota; Metazoa; Chordata; Mammalia; Cingulata; Dasypodidae.
GUGCUUGCUUCAACAGCACAUAUACUAAAAUUGGAACAAUACAGAGAAGAUUAGCAUGGUCCCCGCACAAGAAUGACACCCAAAUUCGUGAAGCAUUCUUUAUUUUU